Molecule: ribosomal RNA, 468 nt
Filed under: uncultured bacterium
Lineage: Bacteria
Description: partial 16S ribosomal RNA
Rfam family: Bacterial small subunit ribosomal RNA
Source: RNAcentral
GACGAACGCUGGCGGCGCGCCUAACACAUGCAAGUCGAACGGAGCUGAGAGAAGCUUGCUUUUCUUAGCUUAGUGGCGAACGGGUGAGUAACGCGUGAGUAACCUGCCCUGGAGUGGUGGACAACAGUUGGAAACGACUGCUAAUACCGCAUAAGCCCACGAUCCGGCAUCGGAUUGAGGGAAAAGGAUUUAUUCGCUUCAGGAUGGACUCGCGUCCAAUUAGCUAGUUGGUGAGGUAACGGCCCACCAAGGCGACGAUUGGUAGCCGGACUGAGAGGUUGAACGGCCACAUUGGGACUGAGACACGGCCCAGACUCCUACGGGAGGCAGCAGUGGGGGAUAUUGCACAAUGGGGGAAACCCUGAUGCAGCGACGCCGCGUGGAGGAAGAAGGUUUUCGGAUUGUAAACUCCUGUCGUUAGGGACGAUAAUGACGGUACCCAACAAGAAAGCACCGGCUAACUACGUG